AAAUGUUAUUAGUUUAACUUUUGUAUUCUGAGCUUUGCAUAAAUUUGCCUUUGGAGUUCCAUAAAAAUAGAAUUCUUUUUCUCAAGGGCAAUGUUGAACCCACAAAACAAUUUUAAGAUCUUUAAUAUUCCAGUUGUUUGCCUCCUAGAAAUUAUAGCUAUGUCUUAUCAGUUCUUUACCAAGUAGAAAUUUUAACAUUUUUAAGGUCAUAACCCACUUUUGACCAAACUGAAAGACACUUUCUAAACAAAUUCUUGGUUUCUGAUUUCAAAGGAAGUUCAUACUUACUUUUCCUUUCAAAAUCCACAUGAAGCCUACUUUAUUACAAUAUAAAGUUACACUUUCAGAGUUGAGGGAAACAGACUUUUCAUACAUAUUUUAUCAGUGACAGCGGUAGAACACAUUUUAUCUUUUCUUUUAAAUCUCAAGUGUGGAGUUUCGGGGCCUCAUUUAAGUACCACAGAAGCCAUCCUGUCUUCAUACUUUAUUCUCUGGUCCUUAGUAACCUAAAUUACUUUGUUUCCUUUCACUGAACUCUACCUAAUCUAUAGUCUUGGACAUUCAAAAUUAAAACCCUUAUCUGUAAUCUUGGAAAACAAAAUGGGACAUCUUUAGCAAAUAUAGAGAAAGGGAGAUGUGGAAAUUUGGAAGAAUUUUAUCUUUUCAUGAAAGCAUAAAGACUGCAAUACUUAGACCAAAAACAAACAAGUAGCCAUGUGAAGAAAAUGCGAAAUGUUUAUCUCAGAACUGAGUUCUGCAACAUAAAAAUCUGUAGAAACCAUUUAGGACUACAGACAUUUUUAAAAGUGUAUGCACUUCAGUAGAGCAAAACCAGAAAUUAAUUUAAGCUUAUUAUUGGUAAUAUUAGUGUUAAUAUUUAAGUUUUAAAAUUA
Molecule: long non-coding RNA, 893 nt
Filed under: Bos taurus (domestic cattle)
Lineage: Eukaryota; Metazoa; Chordata; Mammalia; Artiodactyla; Bovidae
Description: long non-coding RNA NONBTAT013699
Source: RNAcentral